GUCAAUACCCUGCAUCCUUUGUCAAUUUGAAGGCAUGCAUCAUGCAUGUUUGUAUUAAGUCGAUCCAUUAAACUUUCCUCGGUAACACGGUAAUCAACAUUUCCUGCUCUAUUUUUAACAUCAAUGAAGCUUUCCUUCUUGAUUAUUUCCAGAAAGUCCUUCCCCAAGCGCUCUGCUAUGCCUUUCUCAAGAUUAUAACGGCCUGACAAAUUGAUGACUGUGUGAACAUCAUGAUACUUAGAAGCAUAUAGAAGCACAACAUCCCCUCCUUUACUAUGUCCAAGGAC
This 287-nucleotide unclassified non-coding RNA is filed under the name Hevea brasiliensis (rubber tree). The record is from RNAcentral. Lineage: Eukaryota; Viridiplantae; Streptophyta; Magnoliopsida; Malpighiales; Euphorbiaceae.